RNAcentral lists this non-coding RNA (27 nucleotides) under Rattus norvegicus (Norway rat). Lineage: Eukaryota; Metazoa; Chordata; Mammalia; Rodentia; Muridae. The record is from RNAcentral.
GAAGUAAACAUGAGUUCUCCUUUAUGG